This 492-nucleotide ribosomal RNA is filed under the name uncultured bacterium. RNAcentral describes it as "partial 16S ribosomal RNA". It matches the Rfam family "Bacterial small subunit ribosomal RNA", at positions 29 to 507 of the family's 1533-position model. The record is from RNAcentral.
AGUGAACGCUGGCGGUAGGCCUAACACAUGCAAGUCGAACGGCAGCACAGUAAGAGCUUGCUCUUACGGGUGGCGAGUGGCGGACGGGUGAGGAAUACAUCGGAAUCUACUUUUUCGUGGGGGAUAACGUAGGGAAACUUACGCUAAUACCGCAUACGACCUACGGGUGAAAGCAGGGGAUCUUCGGACCUUGCGCGAUUCAAUGAGCCGAUGUCGGAUUAGCUAGUUGGCGGGGUAAAGGCCCACCAAGGCGACGAUCCGUUGCUGGUCUGAGAGGAUGAUCAGCCACACUGGAACUGAGACACGGUCCAGACUACUACGGGAGGCAGCAGUGGGGAAUAUUGGACAAUGGGCGCAAGCCUGAUCCAGCCAUACCGCGUGGGUGAAGAAGGCCUUCGGGUUGUAAAGCCAUUUUGUUGGGAAAGAAAAGCAGCAGGCUAAUACCCCGCUGUUCUGACGGUACCCAAAGAAUAAGCACCGGCUAACUUCGUG